RNAcentral lists this ribosomal RNA (467 nucleotides) under uncultured bacterium. RNAcentral describes it as "partial 16S ribosomal RNA". It matches the Rfam family "Bacterial small subunit ribosomal RNA", at positions 28 to 506 of the family's 1533-position model. The record is from RNAcentral.
GACCAACGCUGGCGGCGUGCUUAACACAUGCAAGUCGAACGGAAAGGCCCUGCUUUUGUGGGGUGCUCGAGUGGCGAACGGGUGAGUAACACGUGAGUAACCUGCCCUUGACUUUGGGAUAACUUCAGGAAACUGGGGCUAAUACCGGAUAGGAGCUCCUGCUGCAUGGUGGGGGUUGGAAAGUUUCGGCGGUUGGGGAUGGACUCGCGGCUUAUCAGCUUGUUGGUGGGGUAGUGGCUUACCAAGGCUUUGACGGGUAGCCGGCCUGAGAGGGUGACCGGCCACAUUGGGACUGAGAUACGGCCCAGACUCCUACGGGAGGCAGCAGUGGGGAAUAUUGCACAAUGGGCGGAAGCCUGAUGCAGCAACGCCGCGUGCGGGAUGACGGCCUUCGGGUGGUAAACCGCUUUCGCCUGUGACGAAGCGUGAGUGACGGUAAUGGGUAAAGAAGCACCGGCUAACUACGU